RNAcentral lists this ribosomal RNA (254 nucleotides) under uncultured bacterium. RNAcentral's name for it is "partial 16S ribosomal RNA". It matches the Rfam family "Bacterial small subunit ribosomal RNA", at positions 524 to 776 of the family's 1533-position model. The record is from RNAcentral.
GACGUAGGGCGCGAGCGUUGUCCGGAUUUAUUGGGCGUAAAGAGCUCGUAGGCGGUUUGGUAAGUCGGGUGUGAAAUCUCCACGCUCAACGUGGAGGGGCCACUCGAUACUGCCAUGACUCGAGUCCGGUAGAGGAGUGUGGAAUUCCCGGUGUAGCGGUGAAAUGCGCAGAUAUCAGGAGGAACACCGGUGGCGAAGGCGGGUCUCUGGGCCGUAACUGACGCUGAGGAGCGAAAGCAUGGGGAGCGAACAGG